This 259-nucleotide ribosomal RNA is filed under the name uncultured bacterium. Its description in RNAcentral is "partial 16S ribosomal RNA". It matches the Rfam family "Bacterial small subunit ribosomal RNA", at positions 334 to 584 of the family's 1533-position model. The record is from RNAcentral.
AACGUCCUACGGGGGGCAGCAGUAGGGAAUUUUCGUCAAUGGGCGCAAGCCUGAACGAGCGAUGCCGCGUGAGUGAAGAAGGCCUUCGGGUCGUAAAGCUCUGUUGCGGGGGAAAAAAGGCAGCAUCAGGAAAUGGGUGCUGACUGAUGGUGCCCCGCCAGAAAGUCACGGCUAACUACGUGCCAGCAGCCGCGGUAAUACGUAGGUGGCAAGCGUUAUCCGGAUUUAUUGGGCGUAAAGCGAGCGCAGGCGGUUGCUU